UCUGUUGUGGUGUAGCGGCUAGCAUUUGAGAUUCUCAUCUUCUUUUUUUUUUUUUUUUUCGACAAUGUGACCUCCCAGAACCCUGGUUCAAUUCCCGGCGACGGAA
This is a non-coding RNA of Kalaharituber pfeilii, 106 nucleotides long. Lineage: Eukaryota; Fungi; Ascomycota; Pezizomycetes; Pezizales; Pezizaceae. The record is from the annotation of a GenBank genome assembly.